This 395-nucleotide unclassified non-coding RNA is filed under the name soil metagenome. Its description in RNAcentral is "partial contains 5.8S ribosomal RNA, internal transcribed spacer 2, and large subunit ribosomal RNA". The stretch from base 1 to 120 matches the Rfam family "5.8S ribosomal RNA", at positions 35 to 154 of the family's 154-position model. The record is from RNAcentral.
GAUGAAGAACGCAGUGAAAUGCGAUAAGUAAUGUGAAUUGCAGAAUUCAGUGAAUCAUCGAAUCUUUGAACGCACCUUGCGCUCCUUGGUAUUCCGAGGAGCAUGCCUGUUUGAGUGUCAUUAAAUUCUCAACCAUUAUCAACUUUUGCUGAUAAUGGCUUGGAUGUGGGGGUCUAUUUUGCUGGCUUCUCAGAUAGUCAGCUCCCCUUAAAUGCAUUAGCCGGUGCCCCGCGUGGACUGUCUAUUGGUGUGAUAAUUAUCUAAGCUAUAGACAUCUGCAAUCAUAUGGGUUUGCGCUGCUUCUAACAGUCUGUUGAUUCAGACAAUACAUGACAAUUUGACCUCAAAUCAGGUAGGACUACCCGCUGAACUUAAGCAUAUCAAUAAGCGGAGGA